RNAcentral lists this ribosomal RNA (218 nucleotides) under uncultured bacterium. RNAcentral describes it as "partial 16S ribosomal RNA". It matches the Rfam family "Bacterial small subunit ribosomal RNA", at positions 116 to 334 of the family's 1533-position model. The record is from RNAcentral.
CGUGGAUAACCUGCCUCACACAGGGGGAUAACAGUUAGAAAUGACUGCUAAUACCGCAUAAGCGCACGGCAUCGCAUGAUGCAGUGUGAAAAACUCUGGUGGUGUGAGAUGGAUCCGCGUCUGAUUAGGUAGUUGGUGGGGUAACGGCCCACCAAGCCGACGAUCAGUAGCCGACCUGAGAGGGUGACCGGCCACAUUGGGACUGAGACACGGCCCAA